Molecule: long non-coding RNA, 551 nt
Organism: Mastomys coucha (southern multimammate mouse)
Lineage: Eukaryota; Metazoa; Chordata; Mammalia; Rodentia; Muridae
Exons: 3
Source: RefSeq, a predicted model, not a curated record
GUCUGACUUGUUAUCUGUUCCUUUGCUAUUUUGAUGCUGCUACUUCAUCCAUAGUGAUUUUUCUGCUGUACUUAUCACAUCUGCCUAAAACAUGGUCUUUGUGAGACCAUUAAAAGCAGUCUGUGUUUUGGUUGCACAAGUCUUAAGUUCUGGAACCUAGUGAAAGAUUCCACAAGGGAUGGAAACAGUGGAGACAUGUUCCCAGACACAGAUGGCUGAUUCCACAAGUCCUCCUACUCCAUUAGCCCAUGCUAACUAUUGCAUAGACAAUGCCCCAAGUUCUCAGCAUUCUGGCUGGAUUCAACCCCCCGUCAUUUUGAGCAUAGCCAGAUGCGCUGUGUGGGCCCAGCAUUUGCAGUCCUGAGAUUGGAUCUAAGAACUCCUGCUCACUCACUCACGCCCGAAACCACUGGACAGCUGCUUCCUUUCCCUGCCAACCUCUCCCUUCAGUCCCAGUCUCUCUUCAGACUAAGCUGCUCUGGGCACCCCAAUUCAUUCUCUGUGGUGUCCAGCAUCACCUGUAAUUCCCAGGGGCUAGAACCUGCAUCCUU